UACGGAGGAUGCGGGCGUUAUCCGGAUUUAUUGGGUUUAAAGGGUGCGCAGGCGGCGUGUCAAGUCAGCGGUAAAAUGUCGGGGCUCAACCCCGGCCGGCCGUUGAAACUGGCGUGCUCGAGUUGGAGAGAAGUAUGCGGAAUUCGUGGUGUAGCGGUGAAAUGCAUAGAUAUAUGGAAGAACACCAGUGGCGAAGGCGGCCGCCUGGCCUGUUGCUGACGCUGAGGCACGAAAGCGUGGGGAGCAAAUAGG
Molecule: ribosomal RNA, 252 nt
Filed under: uncultured Bacteroidales bacterium
Lineage: Bacteria; Pseudomonadati; Bacteroidota; Bacteroidia; Bacteroidales
Description: partial 16S ribosomal RNA
Rfam family: Bacterial small subunit ribosomal RNA
Source: RNAcentral